UCGAGAAAGACAUAAUGGUUAUGACAUUGGCUUGAAACCAGUUUUAGGGGGUUCGAUUCCUUCCUUUCUUAUUUAC
This 76-nucleotide transfer RNA is filed under the name Melogale moschata (Chinese ferret-badger). RNAcentral describes it as "tRNA-Ser". It matches the Rfam family "tRNA". From Rfam's summary of the family: Transfer RNA (tRNA) molecules are approximately 80 nucleotides in length. Their secondary structure includes four short double-helical elements and three loops (D, anti-codon, and T loops). Lineage: Eukaryota; Metazoa; Chordata; Mammalia; Carnivora; Mustelidae. The record is from RNAcentral.